GUGGAUGUAGCUCAGCUGGCAGAGCGCCGCGUUGUGAUCGCGGAUGCCGCGGGUUCAAGCCCCGCCAUUCACCCCA
RNAcentral lists this transfer RNA (76 nucleotides) under Microbacterium hominis. RNAcentral describes it as "tRNA-His". It matches the Rfam family "tRNA". Rfam says of the family: Transfer RNA (tRNA) molecules are approximately 80 nucleotides in length. Their secondary structure includes four short double-helical elements and three loops (D, anti-codon, and T loops). Further hydrogen bonds mediate the characteristic L-shaped molecular structure. tRNAs have two regions of fundamental functional importance: the anti-codon, which is responsible for specific mRNA codon recognition, and the 3' end, to which the tRNAs corresponding amino acid is attached (by aminoacyl-tRNA synthetases). tRNAs cope with the degeneracy of the genetic code in two manners: having more than one tRNA (with a specific anti-codon) for a particular amino acid; and 'wobble' base-pairing, i.e. permitting non-standard base-pairing at the 3rd anti-codon position. The record is from RNAcentral. RNAcentral also lists the same sequence under 1 other name. Lineage: Bacteria; Bacillati; Actinomycetota; Actinomycetes; Micrococcales; Microbacteriaceae.